Molecule: ribosomal RNA, 725 nt
Filed under: uncultured bacterium
Lineage: Bacteria
Description: bacterial SSU rRNA
Rfam family: Bacterial small subunit ribosomal RNA
Source: RNAcentral
GAGCGAACGGUGGCGGCGUGGAUUAGGCAUGCAAGUCGAGCGCGAAAGGCCCGCAAGGGCUGAGUAAAGCGGCGGACGGGUGAGUAACGUAUGGACAACCUACCUCCAACCCGGGGAUAACAGCUGGAAACGGCUGCUAAUACCCGAUAGCUCCGGUAGCGUAUUUCGCGGCCGGAUAAAGGGGGGCAACUCCCAGUUAGAGAGGGGUCCAUAUCCCAUCAGCUAGUUGGCGGGGUAAUGGCUCACCAAGGCAACGACGGGUAGCCGGACUGAGAGGUCGACCAGCCACAUCGGGACUGAGACACUGCCCGGACUCCUACGGGAGGCUGCAGUCGAGAAUCUUCCGCAAUGUGCGAAAGCAUGACGGAGCGACGCCGCGUGCAGGAUGAAGGCCUUCGGGUUGUAAACUGCUGUCACCCGUUAAGAACGUUCAGUUUAACAAACUGAGCUGACGUUAGCGGGUAAGGAAGCCACGGCUAACUUCGUGCCAGCAGCCGCGGUAAGACGAAGGUGGCAACCGUUGCUCGGAUUCACUGGGCAUAAAGCGCGCGUAGGCGGCUCGGCAGGUCACUGGUGAAAUCCCACGGCUCAACCGUGGACCCGCCAGUGAAACCGCCUUGCUUGAGGACGAGAGGGAGAGAAUGGUACUCUUGGUGUAGCGGUGAAAUGCGUAGAUAUCAAGAGGAACGCCGGUGGCGAAAGCGAUUCUCUGGAUCGUUCCUGAC